CCUACGGGGGGCAGCAGUGGGGAAUAUUGGGCAAUGGGCGCAAGCCUGACCCAGCAACGCCGCGUGAAGGAAGAAGGCUUUCGGGUUGUAAACUUCUUUUGUCAGGGAAGAGUAGAAGACGGUACCUGACGAAUAAGCCACGGCUAACUACGUGCCAGCAGCCGCGGUAAUACGUAGGUGGCAAGCGUUGUCCGGAUUUACUGGGUGUAAAGGGCGUGUAGCCGGGUUGACAAGUCCGAUGUGAAAUCCUGCGGCUUAACCGCAGAACUGCAUUUGAAACUGUUGAUCUUGAGUACUGGAGAGGCAGACGGAAUUCCGAGUGUAGCGGUGAAAUGCGUAGAUAUUAGGAGGAACACCAGUGGCGAAGGCGGUCUGCUGGACAGCAACUGACGGUGAGGCGCGAAAGCGUGGGGAGCAAACAGGAUUAGAUACCCCAGUAGUC
This 442-nucleotide ribosomal RNA is filed under the name uncultured bacterium. RNAcentral describes it as "partial 16S ribosomal RNA". It matches the Rfam family "Bacterial small subunit ribosomal RNA", at positions 338 to 795 of the family's 1533-position model. The record is from RNAcentral.